Ixodes scapularis (black-legged tick) is the source of this 1310-nucleotide long non-coding RNA. RefSeq lists it as uncharacterized. The record is from RefSeq and is a predicted model, not a curated record. The transcript has 3 exons. NCBI's taxonomy places the organism in Eukaryota, Metazoa, Arthropoda, Arachnida, Ixodida, Ixodidae.
GGUGUCCUGAAAAGGUAUUACUACUGCCACCGCUCUGGAUCAUUUCAGAGCAAGAGAUGAGACUUCUCCAAAACCUAGGGUAAUCCCUCACAACAAAAAGAUGGAAAAACAACCACGGUACUUUCCCCCCCAAAAAACGCCCUGGUUCUGGUCCCAUGCAUGGCAAACCUCCCACCAGCUUGGAGCAGCAGCACAUCAUGCAGGGCCUUGUAGCCAGGUGAGUUCCUACAGAAGGAGCAGCAUCCGCUCAGCUCCAUGUGGAUGUUCCGAGCAUGUCUGUGCUGGCCCUCAAGGAGCAUGACUACUUUGCAAAUCAGUAGUCGUGACAAUUGGACUACAAAAAAGGGGCAGUAUUCUUCUUGCAAAAAGGAAUGGCGUGUUGGACAGCUUGGAUUUCUUUCCACUUUGGAGAAUGUCACGAGAGGCUCGAGCUAAAGGCAAGAGGGGCAUCUCUUACCAUCCUCCAACAGGUUACGUUAGGCGAGGCAUUAUAUGCUGACCUUAAUCGUAACGCUUUUUUAACAACCGGGGAUUGGCAAUUUUAUUUCAGUUGAUACGGAACGGUUGUCUCUAAAUUAACGGGCAACCAUAGUGCCUCGAAAUGCUUGUUUAUAAGCGUGCCCCUCCAUGAAACCGGCACUCUUUUUUUUAGAUAGUAUUACUGCACGAGAAUGUGCAGCUUUUUCCGCUUUGGAGAAUGUCAAGAGGUGCUCGAGCUCGCCAUUCUCCAACAGGUGGCUUAUGUUAUCAGCUGGUCUUAAUUGGAAAAGUUUUAAUGGCCAGAGCUUGCCAAUUUAAUUUCAAAUUUAUGCAGACAGGUUACCUCUAAGUUAAUGAGUAACCAUAAUACCUCAAGUUGCCUGUUACAUGCUUAUUUUUUAUUUUGCAUACUGCUGCACGGGAAUGUGAAAGUUGCAGUUCCCGCGACAUACCAAAUUAUUUUAGUAUGUGACUUAUAUGCUUUAGGAUAUAAUCGUUUUCUUGCUAAUAAGUGCCUAUAAUCACUGUUUCAUUGUUUUGUGAGCCAAGAGGGAGUGACCACUGGCGACCACAAGCAUGAGGAUCUGCUACAGGAAGCAUAAUCAUGGGCCUUUUAAGGUGGAUUGCAGCAGAUGCUACGAGCCAGCACAACUAAUUCUGUGCUGAGAGUGUGUUGGGCGACCUUCCGGCUUGGCGCAGCAAUGCGCAAUGUCACGUGACACUCUGGCCGGGCGUGAUGGCUUCUAGCAUCAGCUGCGCUCCAUCUUAAUGCGAAAUGGAGUGUGAUUACUAGUAAUGCAUUACCGGUCAGUUGUUACUUUUUCCAAUAG